RNAcentral lists this ribosomal RNA (420 nucleotides) under uncultured bacterium. Its description in RNAcentral is "bacterial SSU rRNA". It matches the Rfam family "Bacterial small subunit ribosomal RNA", at positions 357 to 774 of the family's 1533-position model. The record is from RNAcentral.
AGGAAUAUUGGGCAAUGCCCGCAAGGGUGACCCAGCAACGCCGCGUGGAGGAUGAAUGUCGUAAGAUUGCAAACUCCUGUUAGAGGGGAAGAAUAGUACCGGUUGGACCGGUAUAUGACUGUACCCUCAGAGAAAGCCCCGGCUAACUACGUGCCAGCAGCCGCGGUAAGAAGUAGGGGGCAAGCGUUGUCCGGAUUUACGGGGUGUAAAGGGUGCGCAGGCGGAUGGGUAAGUCAGGGGUGAAAGUCUGCAGCUUAACUGUAGAAUUGCCUUUGAUACUGCUCAUCUUGAGUGUGGGAGAGGUUGAUGGAAUUCCAGGUGUAGCAGUGAAAUACGUAGAUAUCUGGAAGAACACCAGUUGCGAAGGCGGUCUCUUGGUCCGACACUGACGCUGAGGCGCGAAAGCGUGGGGAGCAAACA